GUCCUUUUGAGUUUAAUUUAAGGUCUAACCUGCCCAAUGAAAGAUUUAAAUGGCCGCAGUAUUUUAACUGUGCAAAGGUAGCAUAAUCAUUAGUUUUUUAAUUAAAAGCUUGUAUGAAGGGUUGGACGAGAUAAAAACUGUCUUAAUUUAAUUUAUUUUAGAAUUUAAUUUUUAAGUUAAAAAGCUUAAAUAUUUUUAAAAGACGAGAAGACCCUAUAGAUCUUUAUAAUUUUUAUUUUAAUUAAGUUUUAGAAUUUAUUAUUAUUUAAUUUAAUGAUUAUUGUAUUGGGGUAAUAUAAAGAUUAAACUAAUUCUUUAUUUAUUUAUACAUUAAUUUAUGAAUAAUUGAUCCAAUAUUAUUGAUUAUAAGAUUAAGUUACCUUAGGGAUAACAGCGUAAUUUUUUUGGAGAGUUCAUAUCGAUAAAAAAGUUUGCGACCUCGAUGUUGGAUUAAAAAUUAGCCUAGGUGUAGAAGUUUAGGAUUUUGGUCUGUUCGACCAUUGAAUUUUUACA
Molecule: ribosomal RNA, 513 nt
Filed under: Cybister puncticollis
Lineage: Eukaryota; Metazoa; Arthropoda; Insecta; Coleoptera; Dytiscidae
Description: partial 16S ribosomal RNA
Rfam family: Bacterial large subunit ribosomal RNA (bases 387-513)
Source: RNAcentral